This is a long non-coding RNA of Physcomitrium patens, 1300 nucleotides long. RefSeq lists it as uncharacterized. Lineage: Eukaryota; Viridiplantae; Streptophyta; Bryopsida; Funariales; Funariaceae. The record is from RefSeq and is a predicted model, not a curated record.
UCUCCAUCCCUGCUGUGGCCCGCCUUAGCCUGCUGUCGAUGCAGCAACUGUUGUGAUAGUUCUAGUGGUAGUAGUUGCUGUUUUUAGUAUUUCUCUUCCUCGUCUUCUUCGUCUUCGUCUACUUCUUCUUCUUCAUUCUUGGGUGGAGCCCAUUGCUGUCAUGAGAGUGAGAUGGGCUGUUGUUGCGCUCUGCCAGGGCUGAUCUCAUUGCCCUCAUGGGCGAUCGUCAUGUGCGUGCUGGAAUUUUUGCAUGGAAGCGAGCCCGAUGCGCCUUCAGUGUUGAUCAGUGGGAGUCCUAGCAGUGCUCUAGUUUCCAUUUUUUUCUCUUCCUGUGGCCGGAUUGAUGUUGUCGUCACUCUAUUGUGCUGCGCUGAUUUCGGUCAGUUCCCUCUUAGUCGAGCUGCUGCUUGCCAGUGAGUGAGUGAGUGAGUGGGUCAGCAGCAUGGAGGUUCGACAAGGGUGCUUGGCCCUACUACCCGUGAACCCACCCAAGGAGAGACGUGGUUGUAGAGUCACGCACCUCUGCCGAGCCUCCUGCUCGUUGUGCUUCUUCUUAUUCUUCGACCUGUUAGUUCUUGCCUGGGUGGUUGGAGACGGCGAUGGGCAAUCUCAUAGACGAGGACUGGCUUGGAUGCGGCUGUGGCAAUCGAAUCGGAUCGGUUACAUCGUGCUCGAGUGAUCAGUGGUAUCCAGCAUUGAGCUUCGGCAAGGGGGAGACGAGCCAGUGAAUGGCGCAAAUAUAAUGAAUGCACCGGCGGCGAUGGAUACUAGACUCGAGGUCGAACAAGGGUGUGUGACCCUACAAUCCGAAACGCGAGACUUAAUGCUUCGCCUGCGAUUGUAGAGUCAUACACCUCUGCUAGCCUUCCGGUCUUCCGCUCUAAGCUAUUGAUGUUGUCAUUCCCCUGCCAGAUUCUGCCAUUCCAGGGACGCAUCUGAGCAAUGUGAGUGCGCACACCAAUUUCGUAGUUUCCGGUGCACAUGCUGCGAAGAGGGUUUUUACUUAAAGUAAAACAUGGGGCAGGCAGCCGUGAUUCAAGCAAUUCCACGGCAAGUCUUCCAAUACCACAUGUUCAUCGUUUUCAAAAGAAAAUGCUCCUGACCUCCACUGUUACGAAGGGCGGAACCGUCAUAAGCCAACACUUCAACCUUGCGUUGAGGUGACAUCAAAUCUACUGUUCAUCGUGGCUCUAACGCGGCGCGACCAGAGGCUCUGUAGUGGUAGCAGGAUUAGAUACCUCGGGCAUUUCCAAUUGUAUGAAAAACCCUCUAUAAUCAGUCAAUUUCUUGAUUAAAUCCA